RNAcentral lists this transfer RNA (72 nucleotides) under Methanococcus maripaludis. Its description in RNAcentral is "tRNA-Arg". It matches the Rfam family "tRNA". Rfam says of the family: Transfer RNA (tRNA) molecules are approximately 80 nucleotides in length. Their secondary structure includes four short double-helical elements and three loops (D, anti-codon, and T loops). Further hydrogen bonds mediate the characteristic L-shaped molecular structure. tRNAs have two regions of fundamental functional importance: the anti-codon, which is responsible for specific mRNA codon recognition, and the 3' end, to which the tRNAs corresponding amino acid is attached (by aminoacyl-tRNA synthetases). tRNAs cope with the degeneracy of the genetic code in two manners: having more than one tRNA (with a specific anti-codon) for a particular amino acid; and 'wobble' base-pairing, i.e. permitting non-standard base-pairing at the 3rd anti-codon position. The record is from RNAcentral. Lineage: Archaea; Methanobacteriati; Methanobacteriota; Methanococci; Methanococcales; Methanococcaceae.
GGACGUAUGGUGUAAUGGAUAGCAUACUAGCCUGCGGAGCUUGAGAUUCGGGUUCGAUUCCCGGUAUGUCCG